GCCUAACUGAAGAAUCCUAAAUAGGACGAAACAUAGGUCUUUGAU
Non-coding RNA from Schistosoma haematobium, 45 nucleotides. The record is from Rfam. Lineage: Eukaryota; Metazoa; Platyhelminthes; Trematoda; Strigeidida; Schistosomatidae.